UAUCAUAACAAAGAAUUGUACUCACUGGUUAUAGGCUAUUGUCAAUUCAAUCUUUUAAUAAGAACAGAAACUUUUGAUGGAAACUAUUAACAUAACUGAAUGAAACUACUUUACCUUAGGCCAAACACUGGACUUGAACCCGAGAUACCCGCUUGCAUGUUACUUUAUUGCUUUCAAACAGCUGAUUCUUCUGCAACCCGCACUGCAUCUCUUCUGUCCUUAGCAAGAGGUGGAGGGGAAAUCAGAUAGUCAAGAGUUCUGGGGCAGAAUCAAGUAUCGGCUUUGAGGCGAGGUCUAGGUCAACUAUUUCACUUGCACCGAGUCAAACAGCAAAGGAAUGCUUCUUUCGAGCACAGAGUCAACGAAGAAUUCCAAGAAGAGAUUGAACUCACCCGCUUCUCAGGAGUCCUUGGUUAAGUAUCAAGUCAUGAAGGGAAAGAAAGAGCCUAAUAUUAGAGGAGUAGCGAUAAAGUAGAUGUCUUCUUAUUAGUUGUGGUUUAAUACUGAAAUAGAAGAAUGAUCCAUAGGGGGCGGAUAUCUAAGUGGCACAGGACCUGGUAGUAGCAGCCCAGUAGUAGUUUCUAAGGUAUUAAUUCUCAGACGUCUAUAAGAUCUAGUAGUAUUAGAAGAUCUAGUAGUAUUGUAUUGGCGAAAGUAGUAGUUAUAGUAGUAGCAAGAGUAGAGGGAUAGAAGAACUUGUUACUCAUUUAUUUGACUCACAGCAGGAAGUUUCAGUAACAGCUAAAAUGAAGCUCUUCGGCAGAUUGGUAAUAGGUCAUAUAAUUAACUAAGUAGUAAAUUCAGAAUUAGAAACCACUCCAGGACUUGCUUGAGACUAGUAAUAACUAUACUAAAUGCAUUAUUGAUAUUAUAUAAGAGAGCUGAAAGGGGACUGCCGCUACACAUUAGUAGUGUAUUGACCGGUAUUCCACUCUUAAUCCGGGAAAAGUAGAUAGUCAGGAACAAGUGCUCGCGUAAAAUCAUAUCUAAGCGCUCUGACUCUAAAGAAAGAAAUGGAAAUCACAAUAUUAUUACUUAUGUCACUUAUGUAACCUAGCCUCCUCACGGUCAUAAAAGGAAAGUACACAUUUUUGGAAGCGUACAGAAUGAUUUGCCAGGUAUUAUAGAUGGGCCAGUGUUCUUACCAUUCCGCUAAUGGGGCAAUGCACUAUGAAAUUCCAUUCUUAAUAUCAGAUACUACAUUCAUAGCUACCGCACAACCAAUUACUUAAGUAAGGGCAGGACCACUUGAAUUACAUAUCGGCAGGCAACUACUAGACAAGCGUAGAAACGAAAACCACUACUUUUGACAGGGCUCCGUUAGCGCAACUAACAACUAAGCUUGGCCCGGAGAGUCCUAAUUGAGUCUGUUUCCUACCUUUGGCUAAUGAUUCUGUUUCAAACAAGGCUAUGUUG
RNAcentral lists this long non-coding RNA (1416 nucleotides) under Musa acuminata (dwarf banana). RNAcentral's name for it is "long non-coding RNA (MACU_LNC008003)". The record is from RNAcentral. Lineage: Eukaryota; Viridiplantae; Streptophyta; Magnoliopsida; Zingiberales; Musaceae.